RNAcentral lists this ribosomal RNA (252 nucleotides) under uncultured bacterium. Its description in RNAcentral is "partial 16S ribosomal RNA". It matches the Rfam family "Bacterial small subunit ribosomal RNA", at positions 524 to 776 of the family's 1533-position model. The record is from RNAcentral.
UACGUAGGUCCCGAGCGUUGUCCGGAUUUAUUGGGCGUAAAGCGAGCGCAGGUGGUUUAUUAAGUCUGGUGUAAAAGGCAGUGGCUCAACCAUUGUAUGCAUUGGAAACUGGUAGACUUGAGUGCAGGAGAGGAGAGUGGAAUUCCAUGUGUAGCGGUGAAAUGCGUAGAUAUUAGGAGGAACACCAGUGGCGAAGGCGGCUUACUGGACGGCAACUGACGCUGAGGCUCGAAAGCGUGGGGAGCAAACAGG